Molecule: non-coding RNA, 30 nt
Filed under: Mus musculus (house mouse)
Lineage: Eukaryota; Metazoa; Chordata; Mammalia; Rodentia; Muridae
Source: RNAcentral
UUGCAACAGAUGUGUGGUGUGUGUUCCAAC